GAUGAACGCUGGCGGCGUGCCUAAUACAUGCAAGUCGAGCGAACGGACGAGAAGCUUGCUUCUCUGAUGUUAGCGGCGGACGGGUGAGUAACACGUGGAUAACCUACCUAUAAGACUGGGAUGACUUCGGGAAACCGAAUCUAAUACCGGAUAAUAUUUUGAACCGCAUGGUUCAAAAGUGAAAGACGGUCUUUCUGUCACUUAUAGAUGGAUCCCCGCUGCAUUAGCCAGUUGGUCAGGUAACGGCUUACCAAGGCAACGAUGCAUAGCCGACCUGAGAGGGUGAGCGGCCACACUGGAACUGAGACACGGUCCAGACUCCUACGGGAGGCAGCAGUAGGGAAUCUUCCGCAAUGGGGGAAAGCCUGACGGAGCAACGCCGCGUGAGUGAUGAAGGUCUUCGGAUCGUAAAACUCUGUUAUUAGGGAAGAACAUAUGUGUACGUAAAUGUGGAGAUCUUGACGGUACCUGAAGAGAAAGCCACGGCUAACUACGUG
This 497-nucleotide ribosomal RNA is filed under the name uncultured bacterium. RNAcentral's name for it is "partial 16S ribosomal RNA". It matches the Rfam family "Bacterial small subunit ribosomal RNA", at positions 28 to 507 of the family's 1533-position model. The record is from RNAcentral.